CACGGAGGGGGCUAGCGUUGUUCGGAAUUACUGGGCGUAAAGAGCUCGUAGGCGGCUCAGUAAGUCAGGUGUGAAACCUCCAGGCUCAACCUGGAGACGCCACCUGAUACUGCUGUGGCUAGAGUCCGGUAGGGGAGCGUGGAAUUCCUGGUGUAGCGGUGAAAUGCGCAGAUAUCAGGAGGAACACCAGCGGCGAAGGCGGCGCUCUGGGGCCGGAACUGACGCUGAGGAGCGAAAGCGUGGGUAGCAAACAGG
This 255-nucleotide ribosomal RNA is filed under the name uncultured bacterium. Its description in RNAcentral is "partial 16S ribosomal RNA". It matches the Rfam family "Bacterial small subunit ribosomal RNA", at positions 524 to 776 of the family's 1533-position model. The record is from RNAcentral.